This 293-nucleotide long non-coding RNA is filed under the name Lepisosteus oculatus (spotted gar). RNAcentral describes it as "lncRNA (ENSLOCG00000022537.1)". The record is from RNAcentral. Lineage: Eukaryota; Metazoa; Chordata; Actinopteri; Semionotiformes; Lepisosteidae.
CUUUUCUAUGCAUAAUGUUUAUGAAAUGUUUUGAGAAGCUCUGGACUGAAAGGCGCAAUGGAAGAACAAAGACUGAUUGAUAGUUGAUAUUGACUUCGGAGCUUAAGCGACUCAUUCGUGCGGAACUCUCACUCCUGAGACUUGCGCGAUAAAAUGACUGCUCUUCACGGGGCUGGUUUAAAACACGGUACAGUACGCUUCUAAAGACUGCGGCGGUGGACGAGAUAGUUCGAACCCAAAGACGUUCUCACCAGGCGAACAAAGGCCCAGUUUCAAGGCUUACCCGGUUUUAA